UUGACGUUACGUUGGGCUCAUUUGCUCUCUGGACCCAAGCACUUGGCUUUUGGCUACAGAACUUGAAGUAUGAAGGUCUCCCUAAAGAGCAAGGAAAGCCCAAACUCACCGAUAGUAAAUGAAAGCCUUCUGAGAAUAAAAUCCCGAAGAAAACUGUACUACAACUAAAUUACAUGCUGGAUGAGCUUUGGCACUGAAUCUCACAAAGUUAUGAAAUUACUGCAUGCAGCUUCGUUAGGAAUCAUGAGAAGUGAAGAAAGACCUGGUACUAAUUCACACCACACUGUGCUACACGGCGCUCCUGGCUGCAUCGCACCUGUUGAUGUUUACGUGCCAAGGUACAUUACGCCAACUGCAAUGGCGAGGAAGGUACAGCUGCAAUGAGCCUGCAAACAGGACGGCUGCAUCUCAGGGAGCACUGCUCUCCAGCACCAGGCCAGGAACCCACUUCAACUGUUGGAGCAAAAGUAGAGGGGACGUACACGUGUGGGAGCUUUGCACGUUGCAUGGUGUCUGCAGCCCACUGGUCGCUCCAUGCUGCACAGCGAGGGAGCUGGGAUGAGCCAGUUCUUCAGGAAGCUUCACUGGAGAUUACACUGUGAAUUAUGUCAUCUGAGUAGACUUCAGUGAAAAUGCCACCACUGUGAUGCCAUACAUCUGCAUAGGCUUCCUGUGAGAACAUCUACCAAAUGAAAGAAAGAAGGAAUAAGAAAUGAGAAAUAUCUUUUAAUUAUUUUUCCUGCAAUUACUUGACCCAUUUGCAUGUAUAUCAGCUAUAGUGUUGUGCCAUUAUUGCAGAAGAGUUGGUCCGUAGUCAAAAAAUAAUCUGAGAGCCCUCUGGCAACAAUCACUGUCUUAAGAGCAGUCUGAGAGAUGGUUGUAUAUGAAAUCAAAAAUCUGCUGACCGUGACCAAUCAUGCCAAGGCUCUGCAUCCAGUCAUCCAACGCACUCAUGUUGCAAAGCUCAGUGGAAACAGGGUGGUGAAUAUCUGAUUGCUAAGCAGCUCUGUUGCUGGUUUCUGAGACAGGAGCAAGUUUCUGUUUCUGUUGGUCCCGAUUGGAUGUAACUACUGAUGUGCUGAUAUUUGUAAAGCCCUUUAAUAUUCAUGGUGAAAAAUAUUGGCUGACAAUGUGCCAACAGCAGCAGCCAGGGUCAAGACAAGAUCUCUGUCCCAAGUAGUUGGUAGAUCUAAGAAUCUGUUACACAGCUGUAGAUCAAUACAGAUGUUUAUAUCUUGCUAUGCUGGUAGCAAAGGGAUCUGCAUCUCUAAACCUGCAUGGAAGUAUGUGCAUUUCUUUUUACAUCUGAGUGCUUGCAUAUAACCACGCUGCAUGAAGUCAGCAGCAUGCACCUUUACAUGUGCGAUUACGUUAUUUGAGGACUCACAUUCUCUUCUGUUAUUAAGUGUUUGAGUGAGAAAACCUGUAUAUGCUGUACACACUGCAUACGCAGUUACUGAUGACAACCCAUACAAAACGUGUAUGGCACAUCAUAUCAUACACCAUGUUGGGUAUGUGUUCAACCUCUUCCACUAAUGCUUAAGCUCCGUUGCCUCAUGAUGUAUAGCAAUAGUACAUCACCGGAGUGAUGACGAUCCGAUGGUAUAUUACCAUCAUUUAUUACUGGAAUAUCAUCACUGGCAUAUUAUUGCAAUGUAUCACCGCAGCAGCAGCCAGCAGGAAUGCAGCUGCAAGAGAGUCGAGUUCUAUGUUGUAUUAAUUCCUAAGUGAUAGCUGGAGAAUUAGUAUGAUGGAGAAUCAGUGUACACCUACUUUCCUCUCUUUCACACACAUGCAGCAUAGACUGCUAUGUUUUGCUUGGUGCUUUUAGCAUAGCCUGCCGUUUUCCAAGCGUGAUUCCGUUCCUUGGUGAAAUUUUAGAUUGGGAUUGCUAUUUUGAAAUUUUGUUAAUGAUUAUGAAGUUACAACAACCAGAAGAAAGUAGAAAUUUGGUCUUGAUUGCCCUGUGCUAUAAUCAUUUCUAUCAUAUGCUUUAGGGAUUUUUUUGUGACCCUCAACAGGAGAUUGUUCUGUACUAUCUGUGGAAUUUUACAAAGAGUUAUCAAGUGGGUGCACCUUUAAGGUACGAUGCCCAUUUUUUCAAAUCUUGUGAUUUUUUUUUUUUUUUUUACAUCUGCAUGUGCAUUUCAGAAUUUAGUAUCUCAAUUGGUCGAAUCUGCCAAAAAUAAAGUAUAAAACCCAGUUAUUCCUGCCA
Molecule: long non-coding RNA, 2215 nt
Organism: Phasianus colchicus (ring-necked pheasant)
Lineage: Eukaryota; Metazoa; Chordata; Aves; Galliformes; Phasianidae
Source: Ensembl